Molecule: ribosomal RNA, 497 nt
Filed under: uncultured bacterium
Lineage: Bacteria
Description: partial 16S ribosomal RNA
Rfam family: Bacterial small subunit ribosomal RNA
Source: RNAcentral
GAUGAACGCUGGCGGCGUGCCUAAUACAUGCAAGUCGAGCGAACGGACGAGAAGCUUGCUUCUCUGAUGUUAGCGGCGGACGGGUGAGUAACACGUGGAUAACCUACCUAUAAGACUGGGAUAACUUCGGGAAACCGGAGCUAAUACCGGAUAAUAUUUUGAACCGCAUGGUUCAAAAGUGAAAGACGGUCUUGCUGUCACUUAUAGAUUGAUCCGCGCUGCAUUAGCUAGUUGGUAAGGUAACGGCUUACCAAGGCAACGAUGCAUAGCCGACCUGAGAGGGUGGUCGGCCACACUGGAACUGAGACACGGUCCAGACUCCUACGGGAGGCAGCAGUAGGGAAUCUUCCGCAAUGGGCGAAAGCCUGACGGAGCAACGCCGCGUGAGUGAUGAAGGUCUUCGGAUCGUAAAACUCUGUUAUUAGGGAAGAACAUAUGUGUAAGUAACUGUGCACAUCUUGACGGUACCUAAUCAGAAAGCCACGGCUAACUACGUG